Amblyraja radiata (thorny skate) is the source of this 133-nucleotide long non-coding RNA. RefSeq lists it as uncharacterized. The transcript has 3 exons. The record is from RefSeq and is a predicted model, not a curated record. NCBI's taxonomy places the organism in Eukaryota, Metazoa, Chordata, Chondrichthyes, Rajiformes, Rajidae.
CUGUGAUCCUUUUUUGAACAACUAAGCGCAGUCCAUCUUAACUUGCCUGAUCUUCCGGUUGCUCAGCACUUCAACUCUCCCUCCCAUUUCUAAUCUGACCUUUCUGUCCUGAGCCUCCUCCAUUGUCAGAGUG